Molecule: long non-coding RNA, 679 nt
Organism: Camelina sativa (false flax)
Lineage: Eukaryota; Viridiplantae; Streptophyta; Magnoliopsida; Brassicales; Brassicaceae
Source: RefSeq, a predicted model, not a curated record
UCUUUAUCUUCUAUCCUCUCCUCUAUUUCGACUUAGGUUUUAUUCAACAUCUUCCUUUUAAGUCUUAAUACUUUCGUUUAUUGGCUUGAAGGUGUAACUCAUCUUCAUCCCUUCGCUGGUGAUGAGCCAAGCGCCGUCGUCUACGGCGGAAUCGAACGGACGAGAGAUUGAUUUUGAGGUUAUGGUCUCCGGUGAUUGGCGAUGGUGGCUGGGUCGCUUGAUUUAUGGCUCUUCUAUCUCCAGUUAGGGUUUUCGACAGUAAUAGGUUAUCAAUUUCGACAGGAAUAGGUUAGUUUGUCACUUCGAGGAGGAGAAGAAGAACAAAGCGACGAGGAGCAGAUUCUCUUUGUCUUCUCCCUACUCUCAUCUUCUUUUAGUGUUGUGUUGUGGUGUGGUGAACGAGUCUUAUGUUUAUUGACCAUGAUCACAUUGCCCAUAUCUCUAUGUGGACGUCCAUGAGAAGGUUCGAAAUUUUUUUAUAGCCGUUAGAGAAGAAGAGGAAAUAAAGUCUUGGGCGGUGCAUUUAAGGAAACAGUUAGAGGACGAGUUCAAUCUUGGGAAGAACUAAUUCUCCUUCCUUAUUCCCUAUGUGAUUUAUUGUGAAGGGUGUAGCCCUAGUUCUCUCGGUAUUUAUAUCCUUUGUAAACCUUUGUAAGAAUAACUUCAGGGAUUUUAGUUC